ACCGAAGUGGCGGAAUUGGUAGACGCGCACGUUUCAGGUGCGUGUGCCGCAAGGUGUGAGGGUUCGAGUCCCUCCUUCGGUA
RNAcentral lists this transfer RNA (82 nucleotides) under Flavobacteriales bacterium. RNAcentral's name for it is "tRNA-Leu". It matches the Rfam family "tRNA". Rfam says of the family: Transfer RNA (tRNA) molecules are approximately 80 nucleotides in length. Their secondary structure includes four short double-helical elements and three loops (D, anti-codon, and T loops). Further hydrogen bonds mediate the characteristic L-shaped molecular structure. tRNAs have two regions of fundamental functional importance: the anti-codon, which is responsible for specific mRNA codon recognition, and the 3' end, to which the tRNAs corresponding amino acid is attached (by aminoacyl-tRNA synthetases). tRNAs cope with the degeneracy of the genetic code in two manners: having more than one tRNA (with a specific anti-codon) for a particular amino acid; and 'wobble' base-pairing, i.e. permitting non-standard base-pairing at the 3rd anti-codon position. Lineage: Bacteria; Pseudomonadati; Bacteroidota; Flavobacteriia; Flavobacteriales. The record is from RNAcentral.